Vicia faba (fava bean) is the source of this 393-nucleotide non-coding RNA. The record is from the annotation of a GenBank genome assembly. NCBI's taxonomy places the organism in Eukaryota, Viridiplantae, Streptophyta, Magnoliopsida, Fabales, Fabaceae.
GGAACAUCCAAAAGGGUUUCAAGUCAUAUGAUUCAUUCUCUUAUUCAAAACUCAAAGAAAGUUCAAAUGGAAUUUCAAAGUUUAUUACAAGUCAUUACCAUUUUUAUUCAUAACUCAAGAUACAAGUUUCAAUAUCCAUUCUCAUUCAAGGAUCAAAAUCUCAAAGGGAUAUUCAAGUUUCACAUCAUUCAAGGUUUCAAAGUUCCUUCCAUUCCUAUCAAUCCAAGUUACAAGGAAUUUAUCCAUACCAAUUCAAGAAUUCAAUUUGGUCUUUAUAAGAAAAUACAAAGAGUUUCACUGUUAUGUUACAAAUCAUUUCACAAGGAUUACAAAGAAGUUUUGGUUUUUAAAAACUACAAUGGCUUUCAAUUCCUAAGCUUAAAUUUCAAAUGA